Molecule: ribosomal RNA, 155 nt
Filed under: uncultured bacterium
Lineage: Bacteria
Description: partial 16S ribosomal RNA
Rfam family: Bacterial small subunit ribosomal RNA
Source: RNAcentral
AAGGCCUUCGGGCUUAGUGGCGGCACGGGUGAGUGAACACGUGGGAAUAUACCUCUCAGGGGGGGAUAAGCGGGGGGAAACUGACGCUAAUACCGCAUACGCCCUUCGGGGGAAAGAUUUAUCGGUGAGAGAUUAGCCGGCGUCCGAUUAGCUAG